UUUAUUAUUAUUAUUUUUUUCUUUUGUCUUUCUUGGUUAUAAAAACAUUACUGUAAGAAGAGUGCUCUAGGCUGAGGAUUGAAAUGUGAUGUUCGGGUUCUCAUCAAGUUUCAAACGAGAAAGCUGAUUUGGUCAUGUCUAACGCAGAGAAUCAAAUGCCCCCUAAUAUGGAAGUGUGAUAAGUUAGUAGAGGAAGGAGUGAAAAGGGAAAGGUUUUACAAGUUUGGGAUAUUAAUGUGG
Molecule: unclassified non-coding RNA, 240 nt
Filed under: Hevea brasiliensis (rubber tree)
Lineage: Eukaryota; Viridiplantae; Streptophyta; Magnoliopsida; Malpighiales; Euphorbiaceae
Source: RNAcentral